This 439-nucleotide ribosomal RNA is filed under the name uncultured bacterium. RNAcentral's name for it is "partial 16S ribosomal RNA". It matches the Rfam family "Bacterial small subunit ribosomal RNA", at positions 339 to 795 of the family's 1533-position model. The record is from RNAcentral.
CUACGGGAGGCUCCAGUGGGGAAUAUUGGGCAAUGGGCGCAAGCCUGACCCAGCAACGCCGCGUGAGGGAAGAAGGUUUUCGGAUUGUAAACCUCUGUCCUUGGGGACGAAGAAGUGACGGUACCCAAGGAGGAAGCUCCGGCUAACUACGUGCCAGCAGCCGCGGGAAUACGUAGGGAGCAAGCGUGUCCGGAAUUACUGGGCGUAAAGGGUGCGUAGGCGGCAUAUUAAGUCAGGUGUGAAAUACUCGGGCUCAACCCGGGGGCUGCAUUUGAAACUGAUAUGCUUGAGUGUGAGAGAGGAAAGUGGAAUUCCUAGUGUAGCGGUGGAAUGCGUAGAUAUUAGGAGGAACACCAGUGGCGAAGGCGACUUUCUGGCUCAUAACUGACGCUGAGGCACGAAAGCGUGGGGAGCAAACAGGAUUAAUACCCCCGUAGUC